GACGAACGCUGGCGGCGUGCCUAAUACAUGCAAGUAGAACGCUGAAGAGAGGAGCUUACUCUUCUUGGAUGAGUUGCGCACGGGUGAGUAACGCGUAGGUAACCUGCCUUGUAGCGGGGGAUAACUAUUGGAAACGAUAGCUAAUACCGCAUAACAAUGGAUGACACAUGUCAUUUAUUUGAAAGGGGCAAUUGCUCCACUACAAGAUGGACCUGCGUUGUAUUAGCUAGUAGGUGAGGUAAUGGCUCACCUAGGCGACGAUACAUAGCCGACCUGAGAGGGUGAUCGGCCACACUGGGACUGAGACACGGCCCAGACUCCUACGGGAGGCAGCAGUAGGGAAUCUUCGGCAAGGGGGGCAACCCUGACCGAGCAACGCCACGUGAGUGAAGAAGGGUUUCGGAUCGUAAAGCUCUGUUGUAAGUCAAGAACGGGUGUGAGAGUGGAAAGUUCACACUGUGACGGUAGCUUACCAGAAAGGGACGGCUAACUACGUG
Molecule: ribosomal RNA, 497 nt
Filed under: uncultured bacterium
Lineage: Bacteria
Description: partial 16S ribosomal RNA
Rfam family: Bacterial small subunit ribosomal RNA
Source: RNAcentral